RNAcentral lists this ribosomal RNA (453 nucleotides) under Klebsiella pneumoniae. Its description in RNAcentral is "partial 23S ribosomal RNA". It matches the Rfam family "Bacterial large subunit ribosomal RNA", at positions 1937 to 2389 of the family's 2925-position model. Lineage: Bacteria; Pseudomonadati; Pseudomonadota; Gammaproteobacteria; Enterobacterales; Enterobacteriaceae. The record is from RNAcentral.
UAACUAUAACGGUCCUAAGGUAGCGAAAUUCCUUGUCGGGUAAGUUCCGACCUGCACGAAUGGCGUAACGAUGGCGGCGCUGUCUCCACCCGAGACUCAGUGAAAUUGAAAUCGCUGUGAAGAUGCAGUGUAUCCGCGGCUAGACGGAAAGACCCCGUGAACCUUUACUAUAGCUUUGCACUGGACUUUGAAUUUGCUUGUGUAGGAUAGGUGGGAGGCUUUGAAGCGUGAACGCCAGUUUGCGUGGAGCCAACCUUGAAAUACCACCCUGGCAACUUUGAGGUUCUAACUCAGGUCCGUUAUCCGGAUCGAGGACAGUGUAUGGUGGGUAGUUUGACUGGGGCGGUCUCCUCCUAAAGAGUAACGGAGGAGUACGAAGGUGCGCUCAGACCGGUCGGAAAUCGGUCGUAGAGUAUAAAGGCAAAAGCGCGCUUGACUGCGAGACAGACACGU